RNAcentral lists this long non-coding RNA (2379 nucleotides) under Anas platyrhynchos platyrhynchos (common mallard). Its description in RNAcentral is "lncRNA (ENSAPLG00000022564.1)". The record is from RNAcentral. Lineage: Eukaryota; Metazoa; Chordata; Aves; Anseriformes; Anatidae.
CCAGGUACCCCAAACUGCGGGGCCGUGACGCUCCCCCCGUGCCCCCCAGCUCCCCCCAGACACAGCCCCGGGGUCCCCAGGCAAAUCCGAUGCCCUGGGGUCAAACCCUGGGGGCCCAGCUGGGGGCCUGGGGAUGUUUUCUCUGGCAGAUGAGCCCGGUGUCACUCCGGGCUGAGGAUCGGGACCCUUUUGGACCCCGCUCCCUUCCCAAGCCGUGGUGUGGGUGCCACCAAUCCCCGGGUGGCACCUGUGGGGUUGUGCCAUCUGCCCCAUGGGUUGUCCCAUCUGCAUGGCAGCACCGUGGCCGGGUUGGGGGGAGCUCCUGCCCCUGGGCUCUUUGUUCCCAGAGCUGCCCCCCCAGCAGAACCCCUCUCCCUGCAGGCGCUGGUGCUGGAGCAGGCGGCGCAGGGCUCGGGCCCCCCUGACCUCCGCAUGCAGUACCUGCGCCAGAUCCAGGCCAACCACGAGAUGCUGCUGAAGGAGGCUCAGUCCCUGCGCGACCAGCUGCCCCUGGGCGAGGAGAGCGCGGUGACGGCGGAGAAGCUCCUGCAGGUCUACAGGCAGCUGCGCAACCCCAGCCUGGUUCUGCUGUGAGCAGAGCGGGGGCACCCAGAGCGCCCCGGACACCCCCCGGGGAUAAGAGGGGACCCCCAAAUUGGGGCAGCAGCCCCUGCUGGGGGCCGCCCGGCCAGGGCACGCGGCGGCGGUGCCGGGCGGGUUGUGUGUGUGCGUGUUUCGUGGUCGUGUUGUGGGCAGCGCCGAGGGCGCGGGGCUGCGGCGCGGUUCCCCCCGGGGGGAGGCGGGGAGGGGGGCACCACCCGGCGGCAGAGCAGGGGGCUUCUGGGCUGGCCCAGCCCGGCCCUGCCGCCCACCCCCCCCCACAUCCCACCCCCUUCACCCCCCCGGCAGCCCCGGGGCCGUGCUGUCUCUCGUGGGGUCGUUUUAGCCGUGGUAGUUUUAGCGCUCUCCCGGUGGCUGCGGUGCCGUGCCGGCCGGGGGCUGUGCCCCCCACCCUGCACCACCUCGCCUUCCAGGAGCAGGACAAGCAGGGUGCCCAGGGGGGAGCCCCCCCCCCCCCCCCCCCCUUUUUCCGCUGCGCGGGGGAGGGGGGGUUGUGGGGGUGUUUCCCCCCCCCCCCCCCAGUUCUGUUUCUAGAAAUGAUCUCGUAUCUCUGUGGUGGGGCAGCGGGGUUUGGCCCAGGCCUCCCCCUGCGUGCUCCGCUGUCUGUAACUCUGUCGUCUGCCAUGAAAACGAUCGUGCCGCUCAGCCAGCUGCCUGUCUCUUCUUUUCCAUCCCCUUGGCACCUGGGGGUGCUUAGGGGGCAGCUCUGCAGAGCCCUGCAGCCCCUCGGCACCCCAAAUCCCAGUCCCGUUGGUGUGGGUCUGCUCGGCUCCAUCCCCAGCUGCCCGUGGGGUGUCCCUGUUCCCCUCUGCCACCACCUGCAGCAACCCCGGGUCCCUGCACACUUAAACCAGCCCUUUAUGGGGGCACUGGGGCUCUGUGGGGCAGCAGUCCCCUGGUUAUAGGGUCACUGGGACGGGGCAGGGGCAGGAUCCCGACCCGCUGCGCCCUUGCCGUGGGAGGCGAAGGAGGAGACGUGGCCCUGGUGCAAUCCAGACGCAUUUUAAUGCCACGAGUACAGGGGGGUUGGGGACACAGCUGCCACAGACGAUGCCACCGCCGGCUCUGCCACCACCCUCAGCCCGCCCGGCUCUUCCCGGCCACCCCAUCCCCAGGAGCAGGGUGGGUUUGGGACCCCCACGGUGCCGGUGCCGCGGCCACCCCGUCCCCAGCGCCCGGUGGCUCAGUACUCCCAGAGCGUGGCCCGCAGCACCGACUCGCUGUCGGCCCGCAGGGUGCCGGCCGGGUCCCCCCGCAGGUAGCGCCCGUUCUUCCCUUUGAUGGCCACGCGCCCGCGCUCCCGGAACUCGAAGAAGAAAUCCUCGGAGAGGUCCCCGUCGCUGCAAACCGCCCCGCUGCUCGCCACGUACCAGAACUUGCCCCCCUGGCCUGCGGAGAGCCCCCAGGGGGCCAUCACCGGGGUCCAUCCAAGCCAUCGGCAGCCCCCUACCCACCCCGUGUCCCCUCACCCCCCCCUAGGACCCGCCACCCACCUCGGAUCUGGUAGGCGCCGUCGCUGAAGCCCACGUGGAAGACGUCGUAGACGGAGCGGUUGGAGUCGAGCAGGUUGGAGCCGCGGUGGUAGCAGACGAAGCCGUGCUCGCCCCGCAGCACCAGCAUGGGCCGGUUGAUCAGCUUCAGGGUGAACUCCUCAUCCUCCCCUGCGCAGAGCUGGCGUCAGCGGGGUGGGGACCCCCAGCUCCCACCGUGCCCUCCCCAAAAAAUAAAAUAUCACUCACCCACGGUGUCGCUGACGGC